This 444-nucleotide ribosomal RNA is filed under the name uncultured bacterium. Its description in RNAcentral is "bacterial SSU rRNA". It matches the Rfam family "Bacterial small subunit ribosomal RNA", at positions 29 to 466 of the family's 1533-position model. The record is from RNAcentral.
AUUGAACGCUGGCGGCAGGCCUAACACAUGCAAGUCGAACGGCAGCACAGAAGAGCUUGCUCUUUGGGUGGCGAGUGGCGGACGGGUGAGUAACACGUAGGAAUCUACCCAGUAGUGGGGGAUAACCUGGGGGAAACCCCAGGCUAAUACCGCAUACGCCCUGAGGGGGAAAGCGGGGGAUCUUCGGACCUCGCGCUAUUGGAUGAGCCUGCGUCGGAUUAGCUAGUUGGUGGGGUAAGGGCCCACCAAGGCGACGAUCCGUAGCUGGUCUGAGAGGAUGACCAGUCACACCGGAACUGAGACACGGUCCGGACUCCUACGGGAGGCAGCAGUGGGGAAUAUUGGACAAUGGGCGCAAGCCUGAUCCAGCCAUGCCGCGUGGGUGAAGAAGGCCUUCGGGUUGUAAGCCUUAGGUGGGAGGAAGGCGAUUCAUGCUAAUACCAU